This 1266-nucleotide unclassified non-coding RNA is filed under the name Zea mays. Its description in RNAcentral is "partial ribosomal RNA intergenic spacer". The record is from RNAcentral. Lineage: Eukaryota; Viridiplantae; Streptophyta; Magnoliopsida; Poales; Poaceae.
GGCCGCGAAAACGGGCUAAGUCCAAGCGCGUGGAAAGACACCGAGGCUGCUACGUAGGUCUCGGUUGAAGGGCACGGUGGAACGGAGGGAAAACGGGAGGAGACGCAAGGCAACGGGCGGCAGGGCUGUUCGGCCUUGCGUUUCGGGUGAAAACGAGGGGUUCGCCAUGGCGAACGGGCCAAAAACGGAUUUUCGGCCACGGCCGCGAAAACGGGCACGUGGAAGGGCACGGGACCCUCCCGUGGUCCCCCCGCGUGAGACGUGGAAGUUCGGGUGCACCCGUGAGGGAAAACGGGUCACGCUAGCGAAACCCCUGAUUCUGAGCAAAAACGCUGUGUCCAGCCAUCUUAGAUGGGUUUCGUGGGGUACUGGGAAAAUGCCCUGGUUUUCUGAAGAGCAGAACUCCCCGAAGUCCUGGGAGGGGGUAUGCCCCUCAGGUAUAGUAGGGGGUAGGGAACUCGUGCAGCCGAAACCCGGGCGAAACGCUGCUGAAACCAUAGCGUUUCCAGCGUCUCCUCCAGGUCUCCUCGGCCGAGCCCCGCACCCCCUCGCGGCCUAGCCGUGGUCGGUCGGCACCCUACCGCGCCCAGCUCCGGCUGGCGCUGUUGGCUGCCUGGCCGGCCCUGGUUCGGCCGUGAAGCAGCCAACACCGGCUAUGGCUGGCUACCGCCAGCCAGACGCCCUGGACGAGUGGCUGCACCGUGGGAUGACCCGUUGCUCGAUGCGUUUUCCGUUUCUCCCGCGCUCGGUGGACCUUCGGUCGCCGUCCUCGCAAGCAGACCCGCCGCGCCCAGCGCGGAGGGAUGCUUUGGAUGGCUCGAUCGUAGCGGCUACGCUGGCGCAUGAGUUGUCUUGGACCCGUGACUGCUUGGAGGACCCCCGCUGCCGUGCGGCCGACUCCCGGCGCCCGUGUCCCAUCGCUCGUGCGGGCAUCCCGUGCCUGCUGCGUUGAGAAGUGCUUGCGUGCUGCUACCCGUCCCACGGGAAGCCGUGCUCGAUACACGUUGCCUUCGUCGAGCUCACCCCCCGGGGUGCGGCUCGUCGGCUCGAGAACGCCCACGCGUUUGCAUCGUGCCGCGUCAGCCUAUGGCCGGCGGCACCGAGGACACCUCGCUGGCGCUUUUGGUCUCGGAUGUGGCUCACGCUGAAGGCCGGAGACGCGUUGGCGUCACGCGCCCAAGAAUCGGUCCGCCCGAACGAACGACGGCCAACCCGGCACGACGCCUCCGCGCGUAGGCCGGCGCUGGCCCGUCUGCGAGGACGUGC